Camelus ferus (Wild Bactrian camel) is the source of this 73-nucleotide transfer RNA. It matches the Rfam family "tRNA". Rfam says of the family: Transfer RNA (tRNA) molecules are approximately 80 nucleotides in length. NCBI's taxonomy places the organism in Eukaryota, Metazoa, Chordata, Mammalia, Artiodactyla, Camelidae. The record is from Rfam.
GAAGGUGUAGCUCAAGUGGUAGAGUGUAUGCUUAGCAAGCACAAGGACCUGGGUUCAAUCCCCAGGGCCUCCU